CUGAGGGUAGGACAAGAACAGGCUCUGUGUCGACCCAACAGGUUUAGGGUUGAUGGAACAGGCGAAUAAAGGAUGGAGAUACAAGUAAAAGAAAGAACAACAAUGGGAAGUGACCCACAAUUACAACUUGGCAAUGCACAGAUGGGAAAUAAGGAGAAAUGACAUAUCAGCUGAUACAUUUGCAGCUCAGGAGACAUAAGACUCGAACUGUCAAACCCUCAAAGAAAAAUAAAGGAUAUUAACUCAAAGACCAGAAGAUCGGAGGAACCCACCCACUCAACUUCCUUGGUUUGCACUCUCUUUGAAGAUUAAAAAUGAGCAUCAGCUAUUUAAUGUCCACUGCUUUAGAAUGUGUCUACAAUGUGAUAAAUUAGCCUCUGAAGGCAUGUUCACAGUGGAACUGUUUGUGAUGAGAUUUGUAUUCAUUUCUGGGGAAUUACAUUUUUGUCGUUUAGAUUUUUUUAAAGAAGCUUAUUUUGUGUUCAUUAAAGUGAGCCAUGUCAGAUUUAGGAAUCA
Molecule: long non-coding RNA, 516 nt
Organism: Carcharodon carcharias (great white shark)
Lineage: Eukaryota; Metazoa; Chordata; Chondrichthyes; Lamniformes; Lamnidae
Exons: 3
Source: RefSeq, a predicted model, not a curated record